Molecule: ribosomal RNA, 254 nt
Filed under: uncultured bacterium
Lineage: Bacteria
Description: partial 16S ribosomal RNA
Rfam family: Bacterial small subunit ribosomal RNA
Source: RNAcentral
UACGGGGGGAGCAAGCGUUGUUCGGAUUUACUGGGCGUAAAGGGCGCGUAGGCGGCCAGCACAAGUCAGUUGUGAAAUCUCCGGGCUUAACUCGGAAAGGUCAACUGAUACUGUGCGGCUAGAGUGCAGAAGGGGCAACUGGAAUUCUCGGUGUAGCGGUGAAAUGCGCAGAUAUCAGGAGGAACACCGGUGGCGAAGGCGGGUCUCUGGGCCGUAACUGACGCUGAGGAGCGAAAGCGUGGGGAGCGAACAGG